This is a long non-coding RNA of Cyprinus carpio carpio, 1926 nucleotides long. NCBI's taxonomy places the organism in Eukaryota, Metazoa, Chordata, Actinopteri, Cypriniformes, Cyprinidae. The record is from Ensembl.
GAAGCAGAAAAACAAAGUUCAUUAAGACCCGUGGGAUUGCUUGUAAUAAAGAUUUAAAUGCAAAAGGGACGAGAGUCGAAUGUUUCUGUCAGUGGUGUGUUUUAAUUUUAAAUAUUUGCGAUAUCCUAACAAGAUAAUUGGGCUAAAUGUUAUUCUCUGGUGUGUAUCCUGUUGCAUUCAGUGCUUUCUUCCGGCAACAGCGUUUCACACGAGAUUCACGCGAGAUUCUUAGCGGUCAACUAACAUUAUGGUUCACCCGGAAUGCAUUGCAACACACCGUCGGCGAGAGACUCAUGGUUAGGUCGGCUUUAAAUACCAUACAGAAUCCGUUCUACUCUAACGAUCGUGGCAUGAUGAUUAAGACUUGUAUGCAAUGACAUGAUAUGUGUUGCUGGUUAUGAUGACUGACGUGACUUGUAUGCAUUGACUUGACUUGUGUCGCUGGUGCAGAGUAGUAGUAUAAAGUUUGAGUGAAUGCGAGUUUUUCAAUGAGAUGUUCUAUUACAGUAUACGUGGUUUACUUUAAUUGGAGCUGGCUGGGCAUUGAACUGGGCUUAACUGAUUGACAAAACUUUUUUUUUUAAAUGACCUGUAUGACCUUUAUAACUGGUGCUGGUUAGUCAUUGAACUGGGUUUCAUGGACUGGCUUUAAGUUUUUUUUCUUUUUGAGCACGUUCGAAUCCCAGGACAUAACGCACUCAUAAUAGGCUCGAGAUAUAAUUCCAAAGGGGACAGAUAGGCUUGGCUACAGCACUUAAAGCUUAAAAAGAUUGAAAUUGCAAUCAGUGACUCGCAUCGGGUGAACAAAGCUUUUCGAAGUUGAAUAGGCUAUUAAAAACAAUUUGCGCACCUCCAUGGAGGGACUAUAGUGGGCUCGCCCUUCUAUGAAUUGAAAAAGACACUGAUUUGCCAUAUCCUGACUCAGAAAAAAAAAAACAUUUUAUUGCUUACUUUGCCGCAAACUCAGCAAUGAAAUCAUAGGCCAGCUUGCAGGUAGCCUAAAGUCUUUUUCAAUAGAAGGGCGAUCCCACUAUAGUCUCUCCAUGGAGCCUAUUAUGAGAUCCAGUGCAUUAUGUCCUGGGAUUCGGACGUGCUCAAAAAGAAAAAAAAACUUAAAGCCAAUCCAUGAAGCCCAUGUUCAAUGACUAACCAGCACCAGUUAUAAAGGUCAUACAUUCCAUUAAGCCCAGUUCAAUGCCCAGCCAGCUGCAAUUAAAGUCAACCACGUAUACUGUUGUAUAGAACAUUUCACUGAGAAACUCACAUUCACUCAAACUUUAUACUACUACUCUGCACCAGCGACACAAGUCAAGUCACGUCUUUUUUGACAAACGCUCCCAAAACUCCUCCGGUGGCCCCUUAAAUAAAUAACGAACAGUCCCUUAAUGAUAUCAACAAUAAGGCCCGAUGCGUUUAAGGGGACAGCAUAAAUGCGCUUAUUUUACUGACCAUCAUAGGCAGACUUUGAUUUCGAGUGAACUAGCAGUGCCCUGGCCACAACUAAGGGGACCGGGUACUACCGAGCCAAUUCAAACCAUGUUCUGUAUAUAGGCCUAGGCUAUCUGUGCAUAUACGUGUGCAAAUUCCGAGACUGCCGACAGUUCGGGUCAGGUGAAAGUUACUGCCAUCAAUGUAGACUAUGCAUUGCCUAAAACUCGGUCACAACCUGCGUGUUAGGCUAUAUCAGGCUUUAUUAUAUUAUGCUGCUGUACUUUCAGAGACCCCCACAGAUAUUUGAGUUUUCUGCUUUCAUGUGAGCCAGACCUCUCUCUAUGGGAGCUCAGCUCCCACUGGCUCCCAUCUAACUCGAACCCUGUGUAGUAGGGAGAUGAGUGAAGUAGCCUACUUUUACUCGCUAGGAAGUACGACGAUAAACGACAUAUACCGUGGGCUAACUUUACAAAAGAGGAUGACAAUCGAUCCUUC